This 147-nucleotide unclassified non-coding RNA is filed under the name soil metagenome. RNAcentral's name for it is "partial internal transcribed spacer 1". The record is from RNAcentral.
UAAUAAGUGUUUUAUGGCACUUUUUUAAAUCCAUAUCCACCUUGUGUGCAAUUGUCAGUCGAUCUUCUUCAUGGAGAUCGACCAAACAUCAACCUUUAUCUUUUAACUCUUUGUCUGAAAAAUAUUAUGAAUAAACAAUUCAAAAUA